This 406-nucleotide ribosomal RNA is filed under the name uncultured bacterium. RNAcentral describes it as "partial 16S ribosomal RNA". It matches the Rfam family "Bacterial small subunit ribosomal RNA", at positions 30 to 526 of the family's 1533-position model. The record is from RNAcentral.
AUUGAACGCUGGCGGCAGGCCUAACACAUGCAAGUCGAACGAGUGGCGGACGGGUGAGUAAUGUCUGGGAAACUGCCUGAUGGAGGGGGAUAACAACUGGAAACGGUAGCUAAUACCGCAUACCAUCGGAUGUGCCCAGGUGGGAUUAGCGAGUAGGUGGGGUAAUGGAUCACCUAGGCGACGAUCCCUAGCUGGUCUGAGAGGCUGACCGGCCACACUGGAACUGAGACACGGUCCAGACUCCUACGGGAGGCAGCAGUGGGGAAUAUUGCACAAUGGGCGCAAGCCUGAUGCAGCCAUGCCGCGUGUAUGAAGAAGGCCUUCGGGUUGUAAAGUACUUUCAGCGGGGAGGCGUUACCCACAGAAGAAGCACCGGCUAACUCCGUGCCAGCAGCCGCGGUAAUAC